CACUCACUGUACUGUAUGUCGCUUUGGAUAAAAGCGUUUGCUAAGUGACAUUUA
Molecule: non-coding RNA, 54 nt
Organism: Salmo salar (Atlantic salmon)
Lineage: Eukaryota; Metazoa; Chordata; Actinopteri; Salmoniformes; Salmonidae
Source: Rfam